UAAUGAUAAAUUCGACCGUACUGUAAACCGACACAGGUGGGUGAGUCGAGGAGACUAAGGCGUUCGAGAGAACUCUCGUUAAGGAACUAGGCAAAUGAGCCCCGUAACUUCGGGAUAAGGGGCGCCAGCGCAAGCUGGCCGCAGCGAAGCAGCCCAGGCGACUGUUUACCAAAAACACAGGUCUCUGCUAACACGAAAGUGGAUGUAUAGGGGCUGACGCCUGCCCAAUGCCAGUAGGUUAACAGGAGAUGUCAGGAGUAAUCCGAAGCAUUGAAUCGAAGCCCUGGUGAAUGGCGGCCGUAACUCUAACGGUCCUAAGGUAGCGUAAUUCCUUGUCGGCUAAAUACCGACCCGCAUGAAAGGCGUAACGACUUGGGCACUGUCUCAACGAGAAGCUCGGUGAAAUUGUAGCACCCGUGAAGAUGCGGGUUACGCGCAGUAGGACGGAAAGACCCCGUGGAGCUUUACUACACCCUGUCACUGCGAAUUGGGUGUAGAUGUAGAGAGUAGGUGGGAGCUUAGGCACCAAUGGAACACCACCCUUCUACAUCUGGUUCGCUAACCGUCACCAUUAUCUGGUGACGAGACAAUGACAGGCGGGUAGUUUGACUGGGGCGGUCGCCUCCCAAAAGGUAACGGAGGCGCCUAAAGUUGCACUCAGGCUGGUUGGAAAUCAGCCGUCGAGCGUAUAGGUAUAUAGUGCGAUUGACUGCGAGACAAACAGGUCGAGCAGGGACGAAAGUCGAGCUAAGUGACCCUCUGGUGGUGCGUGGGCACGCCAGGGUUCAUCGGAUAUAAGCUACCCCGGGGAUAACAGGCUGAUCUUGCCCGAGCGCUCACAGCGACGGCAUGGUUUGGCACCUCGAUGUCGGCUCGUCUCAUCCUGGGGCUGUACACGGUCCCAAGGGUUCCGGAGUUCACGGAUUAAAGAGGCACGCGAGCUGGGUUCAGAACGGCGUGAGCCAGUUCGGUCCCUAUCCACUGCGCGCGGAGGAAAUUUGAGAGGACUCGCUCCUAGUACGAGAGGACCGGAGUGAACCGACCUCUGGUGUACCUGUUGUGCCGCCAGGCGCAUACGCAGGGUAGCCACGUCGGGUCGUGAUAAGCGCUGAAAGCAUCUGAGCGCCAAGCACACCUCAAGAUGAGAUUUCCCAUCGAAAGAGUAAGGCCCCCGGAAGACUACCGGGUUGAUAGGUCGCAGGUGUGAGCGCAGUAAUGUGUUAAGCUGAGCGAUACUAAUUGGCCGAGGGCC
RNAcentral lists this ribosomal RNA (1252 nucleotides) under metagenome. Its description in RNAcentral is "bacterial LSU rRNA". It matches the Rfam family "Bacterial large subunit ribosomal RNA", at positions 1627 to 2925 of the family's 2925-position model. The record is from RNAcentral.